RNAcentral lists this unclassified non-coding RNA (311 nucleotides) under Hevea brasiliensis (rubber tree). The record is from RNAcentral. Lineage: Eukaryota; Viridiplantae; Streptophyta; Magnoliopsida; Malpighiales; Euphorbiaceae.
GGAGCUGAAGCUCGUCCUCCGCCAGAUGCUGUCCCUCUUUAACCUUCGUUAUCCACUGGUCCAAAUCCAUCGCCCUUCUUCUAAAUCUAGUGUUCCUUCUUCGUUGCAAUUAAACCUACCAGUUGUAUAGAAAUGUACGGAUUUAUCUGAAGGGUAAUGUAGAAGAGCCGAUUGAUUCAGCUGCCGUUUCCGAUGAAUUGAUGCCGGAAAGUCGCUCGAUCGGAUACUGCCCAAAACCCCAAUCGGAGAAAACAGAGUUUCCGAUCCCUUCGGAUGGAGUGAAUUUUGAAACCCUGGCCAAGUGAGACUUU